Thalassophryne amazonica is the source of this 508-nucleotide long non-coding RNA. RefSeq lists it as uncharacterized. The record is from RefSeq and is a predicted model, not a curated record. Lineage: Eukaryota; Metazoa; Chordata; Actinopteri; Batrachoidiformes; Batrachoididae. The transcript is spliced from 3 exons.
UCUUCCAUCUUUUGUUUUAAAAUCUCAUUCAUGUCUAAUUUCUUGCCGUGUGUUGUAGCUCAGCGGGCUAAGGCACGUACUGAGUUUUUGCAACAUCAGUGGUCUGAAUCCGGCUGACGUUGACCUACGACACUUCGCUGUGCUUAUGUUUUGAAAAUCGGUAUCGUGCCAUCGGUGUUACAGUAAGCUUUCUUGAUAUACGGAUGCACAUUCCUGAAACAUCCAGCAGGUGGCAGCACACCACUCAAGGUUUUUCCUUUUCAUGUGGACUCUGGAAGGUGUACCAGCUUUUGAAAUGGUGCUGAGCAGUAUUUCAAGUUUUCCUUCAGUAAUUUGCAGAGAAGUAUGUCCUGGUAUCAUCCACCAUUAAACAUUCUGCCCAUCAUUUAAUUCCAGUUUUAUUUUCCCGUUCUAUUGAAAAUUUCAUCUCAUAUUUGACGAUAUAGCGGGCAGUGUAUUUCUCCCUGUAGGUGCUAGCUUAAUUUGUUAGGUGGUGUGAGUCCGCUAC